RNAcentral lists this ribosomal RNA (253 nucleotides) under uncultured bacterium. RNAcentral's name for it is "partial 16S ribosomal RNA". It matches the Rfam family "Bacterial small subunit ribosomal RNA", at positions 524 to 776 of the family's 1533-position model. The record is from RNAcentral.
UACGAAGGGGGCUAGCGUUGUUCGGAAUUACUGGGCGUAAAGCGCACGUAGGCGGAUAUUUAAGUCAGGGGUGAAAUCCCAGAGCUCAACUCUGGAACUGCCUUUGAUACUGGGUAUCUUGAGUAUGGAAGAGGUGAGUGGAAUUCCGAGUGUAGAGGUGAAAUUCGUAGAUAUUCGGAGGAACACCAGUGUCGAAGGCGGCUCACUGGUCCAUUACUGACGCUGAGGUGCGAAAGCGUGGGGAGCAAACAGG